GUGUGGAUGAGGCAACCAAGACAAUGACCAUGGCAGUGGUUCUUCUCUGCUCACCUUCUCUUCUCCCACCUCGUCAUUUUCUCAGGAACCAGAGUAGAACCUUGCUAAGCGAGAAGAAAUGCAAGUUAAAAGAGAAGAUAUUGACUCGUUCAUGUGCUUCUUCUUCUUCUUCUUCGAAACCCAAUUCACUAGAUGGGUUUUUCAGAAGGGAUUUCGUGCUCUUUGGUCUAUCUUCUUCCAUAUCUAUUUUCUUUCCAUCUUUGGGGUCCCUUGCAGAGGAAUAUCUAAGAAUGGACUCUUUGGUUGAUGAAAUAAAUGCUUAUACUUAUUUAUACCCAGUGGAGUUGCCAUCUAAAAAGGUCAUCUUUAAAUGGGUAGAAUCCAGAAAGCCAGAACGAUAUUCAUCAGCUGCACCAUUGUCUCGUAAGUUUAGUUAAUUUGUUAUAUUGGUGUUGAAAGUUCCAGUAAAAUGCUGCUUUUUGAUAAUAUUGAUACCCUUUUUUUUAAGACUUGACUAAGGCUUACAUUUUCCAAAUUUUCUACUUAUGCAUCAAUGUUAAGGGCACCAUGAACCUAAACACAUAUGGCAUGCAUAUAACUUACUUCGUAUUGGGUUGUACUUUAUACAGCUGAUGCACGCCUGCGCAUUGUGUCUGAGCGUGUUGACAUUAUUGAUAACUUGAUCAUUUCGGUUAUGGUAAAGUCAUAAAGACAUGCCUAUUACAUUUCAAUCCUAGUUGUUUUUUGGAGGGUUAUGAUUUUAUUUCCUUGAUUCAGAUAGGUCCCCCAAAUUUUCAGUUCAUAAAAUCUAAGGACAAGGGUACCUGGACUGCAAAAGAUGUUGCCGAUUCUGUUUUGUCAGACAAGUCUGCGCUGGUAAUUUUCUGCAUGCCUCUUUUAAAGUGAGCACUCAGCUUUAGCUUAAAUAUGGGAUGGCCUUAUGCUUUGUUUAAGACCAUUAUGACUAGAACAGGAUAUUAAAACAUUUAUGUUUUGAAUGCUACGUAUAGCUUUAUAGUUUUGAGUUGCAAGUUACAAUAUUAACAUCAUCUUAAAAUUCAUGCAACAUUGAAACUGAUAUGAAACCAAGAUUUGACUCGAUCUAUGUGUCUGGGCAACCUUUGAAACACUGGGGCAAACAUGUGUUCGAGGAACAUGCCUAUACAUGCUUUUCCAAAAGGGCAGUGCCUUAAGAUUUAGCCCCCAAAUAGGUUUGUUGAAUGGUCAAUAGAGAAUUUUGUUGAAGAAGUGUAAUUAGAUAAAACCAUGCUUGCCACUGGUUCUGAGUUGGCCAUCAUCCAUCUUGGGGCGUCUUGAAUUCUAUUUAUCUGGAAAGCUUAACUCCUUGUGACAAAGUUGAUACUGGUAUGAAAACUUCAAUCUUCUCUUCUGGCAGCGAGUCACCUCAAGUCAGCGAUUGGCUGAGAGUUCAGUUCUUGAUACCCAUACCAGUGUAGUAAGUUCUAAAGCAUUUUUCAUUUUAUGGUGUCUGAUAUUCAAUACACAUAAUGAUGCUUGUCGACGGUAGAUAUAUUUAUGCAUAUAUUGUGCUAGUUAUAUGAAGCACAUCUCCAUUACUUUUUCCCUCAGACUGAUGGUGAACCAUACUGGUAUUAUGAAUACCUUGUACGCAAGUCACCCACAAAAAUUGUAAGUAUCUCCUUUCUCAGUAGCAUUUAUGAUUGAAAGAUUUGCAUACUCAAUUAGUUGCUAAUAAUUAUCAUGGAACAUGCAGGCUCAAGAGUCAAAUCUUUAUCGGCACUAUAUUUCUUCAACAGUUGAACGAGAUGGUAGGAGCCUGAAAAUUUUGUUUUAAGAAAGCAGCUGGAUAAACAUUUAAUGCAUUCACUUCUACUUGAAAUAUUGUUCUAAUUAUAUCGAUAUCAUUUCUUGAAAUAACUUUAUGAAAUGCAUUCACUUCUACUUGAAAUAUUGUUCUAAUUAUAUCGAUAUCAUUUCUUGAAAUAACUUUAUGAAGUGCUUAAUACUUCCAAGAAAUUCAAGGAAAAAUAAAAACCAGACCUAUUGAAGGUCUAUAUGGAGCAUGAUCCAAGUAAAUAUCAACUUUUUCUUAAUCUAAGUAUACAAUUAAGAAGAAGAAAAGAAGUAAAUGUUAAGUUUAUUGAAGGUUCAAAGAGAACCUAAUAGAGCAUUUAAUGUCCAUUGCAACUGUGAUUUGGCAGGUUCAACUGGUAAGAUCCUAUUUCACUGGUGGAACUAUAUUCAAUUGUCGCUCUUGAAAUGUUCUGCAUAUUUUGCAGAUAUGGCUUCUCCAUUUUCUGGACUUCUAUUCACUCAUAAGGAACUUAAUUGCAGGUUAUCUGUAUACAAUAAAUGCUUCAACUCUUAGCAAACAGUGGAACAAGAUGGGGCCUUUCCUGGAGAAAACUGUGGCUUCAUUUCGCCUUCUCCCUCCCACAGAUAGUUAUGUACCUCCAUAUAAGGAUCCGUGGAGAUUUUGGUGAACAUAUUUCUUUUAAUUCAUUUGUCAUUGAUCCUUAAUGUAUUCCCUCCUUCACAAUAGUUUCAAAUUCAAUAGACAUGUCAUGAGUUUUAUUCUUUUACUUGAUAAUGUUAAAAUUACAGUGUUCUCUCACUCUGGGAUGACUUUUGAGAACCAGCCUAACCCAUGUCUAGCAGAUAACUUGUUAAAACCAAACUUUGCAGCAAAUAAGAAUAGCUCUGGUUAUGGAGUUAGCAUGAGACAGGUAAACCACUGCCUUCAAAGUGCCCCAUAUUUGAUCUGCCACAGCAUGAACAUUGGAUGGGGUUUUGGAUAUAAACUACUCAAGGGUUGAAAUAUAACAUAGCAGGGUAGUUUCAACUCGGAAAAUUUCUAAAAUACUUGUAUUGCUAGGUUAAGCAAGCAAAGGCAGAUAUCUUCCCAACCAUCAAACCUGUAAACAAGUUUUGAGCCUCGUUACAUUUUUCAGAAUCAAAUAAC
RNAcentral lists this unclassified non-coding RNA (2944 nucleotides) under Hevea brasiliensis (rubber tree). The record is from RNAcentral. Lineage: Eukaryota; Viridiplantae; Streptophyta; Magnoliopsida; Malpighiales; Euphorbiaceae.